UAAUUCCCAAAUUGAAAAUCAGAAACCCUAACCUAAUUUCCUCCAACCCUCAGCAGCUGCCAGCCACACUUCCUUACCCCAACGGUCACACAACGCAGAUCAGAGAAAGAGAUUUGCGGGAAGAAGAGAAAGAAGACGCCGCUGCUGUCGCGCUUGACUGCCGCUGCCGUCAUCCUCAUCGUGCACCGCCACCGUCCAGCAGGUCGUCACGCCGAGCCCGUUCCACCACCGUCAACACUGCCACGGAGAAGAGAAGACGACGUCGUAACGCGAGCCAAGGCCGAGAGGAAUGGGACGUCACUGUGCCUCCAACGCGACCGAUCCGCCGCUGCCACUGGUAGGGUUUUGUCGCCGCCGUCCAUGGAGCUUCGAUUAGCGCCACUGUCAUCGCAUACCAGAGGAGAGGGGAGCUCGUGUGUGAAGAGUAGCGCCGCUGUGCCUCCGUCGUGCCUUCAUCACCAUCGAACUGUCUUGCUGUUGCUAGCCUCAUAGCUACUUCUGAGGCUGCACUGCCGUGCCGCUGGUCAUGGGUGGAGUCCACUCCAAGCUGUCACCAUCGCAGAAUACACGCAGAUGAGAGGGAGAAAGGACCUCCGCCACUGUCAGGGUCGUUGGUGAGUCGUGCACUGUCACCAGAGUUUAAAACAGCACCAGCCUUCGUGUUUUGGUUCUGAUUCUCCUAUUCUUGAACCUAUAAGCUUUAAUCCUUACUCUGCUUCCAUUUUAUUUCUUAGUCUUCUCUGUUAUGAGUAAGGAAAACCUAUGUCUCUGUUUAACGCUGCUGCUAUGCCUUUCCUGUUUGCUAAUGAAACUAUCAAAGGUGAUAGUGUUGGUGAUAAUAAAGAACUGUAAGAGUUGCUGCUGCUGCUGCUGUUGCUAGCUUGGUUCGAGUCAGUUGCUGCUACGAAUUAAGAUGAAAGAGGGGUUGGCUACGCUUAAUUAUCAAAUUUCGGCUAAUCGAGUGACACAGGUUUGAAGAUGCAAUUUGAAGCUGCAAGCGAUUAGUAGGUUUUCUUUAUGGUUUUAAUUGCUUUCAUAGAGUCCCUUCGCUCUUGUCGUUUGAGGUUUUAUUUUAACAGAGGGGUAGGUGUUGUAUUUGGGUUUAUAUGACUUCUUAUGUAUAAGAAUUACUAUUAAUAAUACUAUGUGAUUGUUAUUAUUAUUUGUAAAUGUUUGAAUUAUGA
Non-coding RNA from Arachis ipaensis, 1184 nucleotides. The record is from RefSeq and is a predicted model, not a curated record. Lineage: Eukaryota; Viridiplantae; Streptophyta; Magnoliopsida; Fabales; Fabaceae.